CCCUCAAGAUGAGAUAUCCCAUUCGAAAGAAGUAAGACCCCUUGAAGACGACGAGGUAGAUAGGGCAGAGGUGGAAGUGCCGUAAGGCAUGGAGCUGACUGUUACUAAUCGGUCGAGGGCUUGACCUG
Molecule: ribosomal RNA, 128 nt
Filed under: Fusicatenibacter sp.
Lineage: Bacteria; Bacillati; Bacillota; Clostridia; Lachnospirales; Lachnospiraceae
Description: partial 23S ribosomal RNA
Rfam family: Bacterial large subunit ribosomal RNA
Source: RNAcentral